RNAcentral lists this ribosomal RNA (253 nucleotides) under uncultured bacterium. RNAcentral describes it as "partial 16S ribosomal RNA". It matches the Rfam family "Bacterial small subunit ribosomal RNA", at positions 524 to 776 of the family's 1533-position model. The record is from RNAcentral.
UACGGGGGGGGUAAGCGUUGUUCGGAAUGACUGGGCGUAAAGGGCUCGUAGGCGGCCAACUAAGUCAGACGUGAAAUCCCUCAGCUUAACUGGGGAACUGCGUCUGAUACUGGAUGGCUUGGAUUCGGGAGAGGAAUGCGGAAUUCCAGGUGUAGCGGUGAAAUGCGUAGAUAUCUGGAGGAACACCGGUGGCGAAGGCGGCAUUCUGGACCGACAUUGACGCUGAGGAGCGAAAGCCAAGGGAGCAAACGGG